This 1222-nucleotide ribosomal RNA is filed under the name uncultured bacterium. Its description in RNAcentral is "bacterial SSU rRNA". It matches the Rfam family "Bacterial small subunit ribosomal RNA", at positions 8 to 1241 of the family's 1533-position model. The record is from RNAcentral.
AGAGUUUGAUCCUGGCUCAGGACGAACGCUGGCGGCGUGCUUAACACACGCAAGUCGAACGAUGAUGCCCAGCUUGCUGGGUGGAUUAGUGGCGAACGGGUGAGUAACACGUGAGUAACCUGCCCCUGACUCUGGGAUAAGCGUUGGAAACGACGUCUAAUACUGGAUAUGACUGCCGGCCGCAUGGUCUGGUGGUGGAAAGAUUUUUUGGUUGGGGAUGGACUCGCGGCCUAUCAGCUUGUUGGUGAGGUAAUGGCUCACCAAGGCGACGACGGGUAGCCGGCCUGAGAGGGUGACCGGCCACACUGGGACUGAGACACGGCCCAGACUCCUACGGGAGGCAGCAGUGGGGAAUAUUGCACAAUGGGCGAAAGCCUGAUGCAGCAACGCCGCGUGAGGGAUGACGGCCUUCGGGUUGUAAACCUCUUUUAGUAGGGAAGAAGCGAAAGUGACGGUACCUGCAGAAAAAGCACCGGCUAACUACGUGCCAGCAGCCGCGGUAAUACGUAGGGUGCAAGCGUUGUCCGGAAUUAUUGGGCGUAAAGAGCUCGUAGGCGGUUUGUCGCGUCUGCUGUGAAAUCCCGAGGCUCAACCUCGGGCUUGCAGUGGGUACGGGCAGACUAGAGUGCGGUAGGGGAGAUUGGAAUUCCUGGUGUAGCGGUGGAAUGCGCAGAUAUCAGGAGGAACACCGAUGGCGAAGCAGAUCUCUGGGCCGUAACUGACGCUGAGGAGCGAAAGCAUGGGGAGCGAACAGGAUUAGAUACCCUGGUAGCCCAUGCCGUAAACGUUGGGCGCUAGAUGUAGGGACCUUUCCACGGUUUCUGUGUCGUAGCUAACGCAUUAAGCGCCCCGCCUGGGGGAGUACGGCCGCAAGGCUAAAACUCAAAGGAAUUGACGGGGGCCCGCACAAGCGGCGGGAGCAUGCGGAUUAAUUCGAUGCAACGCGAAGAACCUUACCAAGGCUUGACAUACACCGGAAACGGCCAGAGAUGGUCGCCCCCUUGUGGUCGGUGUACAGGUGGUGCAUGGUUGUCGUCAGCUCGUGUCGUGAGAUGUUGGGUUAAGUCCCGCAACGAGCGCAACCCUCGUUCUAUGUUGCCAGCGCGUUAUGGCGGGGACUCAUAGGAGACUGCCGGGGUCAACUCGGAGGAAGGUGGGGAUGACGUCAAAUCAUCAUGCCCCUUAUGUCUUGGGCUUCACGCAUGCUACAAUGGCCGGUACA